RNAcentral lists this ribosomal RNA (301 nucleotides) under uncultured bacterium. RNAcentral's name for it is "partial 16S ribosomal RNA". It matches the Rfam family "Bacterial small subunit ribosomal RNA", at positions 509 to 807 of the family's 1533-position model. The record is from RNAcentral.
CAGUAGCCGCGGUAAUACGAAGGGGGCUAGCGUUGCUCGGAAUGACUGGGCGUAAAGCGCACGUAGGCGGCUCCGCAAGUCGGAUGUGAAAUCCCUCGGCUUAACCAAGGAAGUGCAUCCGAAACUGCAGAGCUUGAGUACUUAAGAGGAUCGCGGAAUUCCCGGUGUAGAGGUGAAAUUCGUAGAUAUCGGGAGGAACACCAGUGGCGAAGGCGGCGAUCUGGGAAGAUACUGACGCUGAGGUGCGAAAGCGUGGGGAGCGAACAGGAUUAGAUACCCCCGUAGUCCCUGUCUCUUAUAC